Molecule: long non-coding RNA, 779 nt
Organism: Epinephelus fuscoguttatus (brown-marbled grouper)
Lineage: Eukaryota; Metazoa; Chordata; Actinopteri; Perciformes; Serranidae
Exons: 3
Source: RefSeq, a predicted model, not a curated record
AGGUUGCCAUGUUUGAGGAAGUAUUAUGUGUUGCUGUGCUAUUUAUUGAUGUGGAUCCCACCAUACGUUCAUUGUUCAGGAGGUUCACUAGACUAAGCAGCCUUUUGGGUUCUUCUAAGCUUCAUUGUCUUUCCAUCAAUACCUGGUGGGCCGGACUAGGCUCAAAAUGCCCGGGCCGAUUUUUUGUCCCAGUCCAGCCCUGCUGAGCAUCUUCUGUGGGCUGCAGAUACCACCUCAUGAUACCACAAGUGGUGAAGGCACUGGAAAAAUGCAGACUAUCCAAGAAUCAACCAGAAAGGACACAGAGAGGGAAAUGGUCUGUGGCCACCACCUGCAAAACCAUUCCUAAUUAGGGGUCGUCUUGGUAAUUGCAUCUCCCGUCCUCCUAUUGUCUGUCCAAUUUGCACAACAGCAGGUGAAACUGAUUCACAAUCAGUAUUGCUUCCUAACUUGACAGGUUGAUAUCAGGAGUAUGAUUGACUUUGAGUUACACUGUGAUGAUUAUGUGUUCCCUUUAUUUUUUUUUAGCAGUGUAUUUUACUUUCAGUUGGACAUUACUGUUCCUCUCACAUGAACAUCCUGUGGUAAUGUGUACAUUUUAACCAUUUCAGGCUGAUGGUGUCUUCUAGAAACCGGACAUUUUUUAGAACAAUAUUUUUUUCAAAUAACUUUUUUCAAUUAAAUUUGUUUUUAAUUGCAGUCCACAAUAAAUUCUCAGAUUCCUGUCAAAAAUAGUUGUCAGUUUUUCCUCACAAAGUGUGUUUGAUUUAACAAGUCUU